Molecule: ribosomal RNA, 1869 nt
Filed under: human oral metagenome
Description: bacterial LSU rRNA
Rfam family: Bacterial large subunit ribosomal RNA
Source: RNAcentral
GAUACAAAGACAGCCAGGAGGUUGGCUUAGAAGCAGCAAUUCCUUUAAAGAGUGCGUAACAGCUCACUGGUCGAGUGUCCAUGCGCAGAUAAUGUAACGGGGCUAAGCAGUAUACCGAAGCUACGGGUCUUAUGCAUUUUUGAGCAUAAGGCGGUAGGGGAGCAUUCCAUUAACUGAUGAAGGCAUACUCGCGAGAGGUGCUGGAGGAGAUGGAAGAGAGAAUGCAGGUAUAAGUAACGAAAAGGGAGGUGAGAUCCCUCCCCGCCGAAAAUCUAAGGUUUCCUGGGUAAAGGUAAUCUUCCCAGGGUAAGUCGGCCCCUAAGGCGAGGACGAAGGUCGUAGUCGAUGGGAAAUCGGUUCAUAUUCCGAUACCUUUUAUAAUUUCGAUGGCAGGACGCAUGAGGUGAAACCUGGCCGGCUAACGGAUGCCGGUCAAAGUAAGCGAGCCGUUAUAAAGGAUGAUAGGCAAAUCCGUCGUCCAAGGUAAGCUGCGACAGCGAGUGAAACUACGGUGGAUCGAAGCGGGCGUAAUCAAGGUGCCGGGAAAUACUGUCUAAGGUUAGGUUAUAAAAGACCGUACCGUAAACCGACACAGGUAGAUGGGAUGAGAAAUCUAAGGCGCUCGAGAGAACUCGCGUUAAGGAAUUCGGCAAAAUGCACACGUAACUUCGGAAAAAGUGUGACCUCCUUUUUUUUAAAGAUGAGGGGGUAGCAGAAAGCAGGCCCAGGCGACUGUUUAUCAAAAACACAGCCAUCUGCGAACCAGCAAUGGGACGUAUAGGUGGUGACACCUGCCCGGUGCCGGAAGGUUAAGAGGAGAGGUUAACAGCAAUGUGAAGCUUUGAAUUGAAGCCCCGGUAAACGGCGGCCGUAACUAUAACGGUCCUAAGGUAGCGAAAUUCCUUGUCGGGUAAGUUCCGACCCGCACGAAUGGUGUAACGAUUCUGGGCACUGUCUCAACGCGAGACUCGGUGAAAUUUAUAUACCGGUAAAGAAGCCGGUUACCCAUAGUUAGACGGUAAGACCCCGUGAACCUUCACCGCAACUUAUUAUUGGGACUUGGUUUAUCAUGUGUAGAAUAGGUGGGAGGCUAAGAAGCUUGACCGUUAGGUUGGGUGGAGCCGAAAAGUGAAAUACCACCCUUGAUAAAUCAGGUUUCUAACCUGUCCCGUGAAACCGGGAUAGGGACAGUGAUAGGCAGGCGGUUUGACUGGGGCGGUCGCCUCCUAAAGAGUAACGGAGGUGCGCGAAGGUCUCCUCACGCCGGUUGGAAAUCGGCGCAGCGAGUGUAAAGGCACAAGGAGGCUUAACUGCGAGAGUGACAGCUCAAGCAGAUACGAAAGUAGGUCUUAAUGAUCUGGCGGUAGCGAGUGGAAGCGCCGUCACUUAACGGAUAAAAGGUACUCCGGGGAUAACAGGCUGAUAUUCCCCAAGAGUUCACAUCGACGGGAAUGUUUGGCACCUCGAUGUCGGCUCAUCGCAUCCUGGGGCUGAAGCAGGUCCCAAGGGUUUGGCUGUUCGCCAAUUAAAGCGGUACGUGAGCUGGGUUCAGAACGUCGCGAGACAGUUCGGUCCCUAUCUGCUAUGGGCGUUGGAUACGUGAGAGGAGCUGUUUUUAGUACGAGAGGACCGAAAUGGACGAACCUCUGGUGUACCGGUUAUCCUGCCAAGGGUAAGUGCCGGGUAGCUAAGUUCGGAAGGGAUAACCGCUGAAGGCAUCUAAGUGGGAAGCCCGCCUCAAGACUACGUAUCCCUGAGGGUUUAACCCUCCUAAAGACUCCUUGCACACUACAAGGUUGAUAGGUUGGAGGUCUAAGCACAGUAAUGUGUUCAGCCGACCAAUACUAAUAAGUCGUGAGGCUUGACCAU